UUUUAUGAGAGUUUGAUCCUGGCUCAGGACGAACGCUGGCGGCGUGCCUAAUACAUGCAAGUCGAACGCUUCUUUUUCCACCGGAGCUUGCUCCACCGGAAAAAGAGGAGUUGCUAACGGGUCAGUGUCACGUGGGUAACCUACCCAUCAGAAAGGGAUAACACUUGGAAACAGGUGCUAAUACCGUAUAAAAGUCGAAACCUCAAGGUUUUGAUUUGAAAGGCGCUUUCGGGUGUCGUUGAUGGAUGGACCCGCUGUGCAU
Molecule: ribosomal RNA, 262 nt
Filed under: Enterococcus faecium
Lineage: Bacteria; Bacillati; Bacillota; Bacilli; Lactobacillales; Enterococcaceae
Description: partial 16S ribosomal RNA
Rfam family: Bacterial small subunit ribosomal RNA
Source: RNAcentral